GGGGGUGUAGCUCAGUGGAACAGCACGUGCUUAGCAUGCACCAGGCCCUGGGUUUGAUCCCCAGCACCACAC
This 72-nucleotide transfer RNA is filed under the name Ictidomys tridecemlineatus (thirteen-lined ground squirrel). RNAcentral describes it as "Spermophilus tridecemlineatus (thirteen-lined ground squirrel) tRNA". It matches the Rfam family "tRNA". From Rfam's summary of the family: Transfer RNA (tRNA) molecules are approximately 80 nucleotides in length. Their secondary structure includes four short double-helical elements and three loops (D, anti-codon, and T loops). Further hydrogen bonds mediate the characteristic L-shaped molecular structure. tRNAs have two regions of fundamental functional importance: the anti-codon, which is responsible for specific mRNA codon recognition, and the 3' end, to which the tRNAs corresponding amino acid is attached (by aminoacyl-tRNA synthetases). tRNAs cope with the degeneracy of the genetic code in two manners: having more than one tRNA (with a specific anti-codon) for a particular amino acid; and 'wobble' base-pairing, i.e. permitting non-standard base-pairing at the 3rd anti-codon position. RNAcentral also lists the same sequence under 1 other name. The record is from Rfam by way of RNAcentral. Lineage: Eukaryota; Metazoa; Chordata; Mammalia; Rodentia; Sciuridae.